RNAcentral lists this ribosomal RNA (873 nucleotides) under Pseudomonas sp. GMCo46. RNAcentral describes it as "bacterial SSU rRNA". It matches the Rfam family "Bacterial small subunit ribosomal RNA", at positions 1 to 893 of the family's 1533-position model. Lineage: Bacteria; Pseudomonadati; Pseudomonadota; Gammaproteobacteria; Pseudomonadales; Pseudomonadaceae. The record is from RNAcentral.
CGAUCGGACAAGUUCAAGUCGCAGACGGUACCCGGGCGGCCCCUCAAGCCAAAUGAGCAGCUUGCUUCUCUUAAUAACGGCGGACGGGUGAGUAAUGCCUAGGAAUCUGCCUGGUAUUGGGGGAUAACGUUCGGAAACGGACGCUAAUACCGCAUACGUCCUACGGGAGAAAGCAGGGGACCUUCGGGCCUUGCGCUAUCAGAUGAGCCUAGGUCGGAUUAGCUAGUUGGUGGGGUAAUGGCUCACCAAGGCGACGAUCCGUAACUGGUCUGAGAGGAUGAUCAGUCACACUGGAACUGAUACACGGUCCAGACUCCUACGGGAGGCAGCAGUGGGGAAUAUUGGACAAUGGGCGAAAGCCUGAUCCGCCAUGCCGCGUGUGUGAAGAAGGUCUUCGGAUUGUAAAGCACUUUAAUUUGGGAGGAAGGGUUGUAGAUUAAUACUCUGCAAUUUUGACGUUACCGACAGAAUAAGCACCGGCUAACUCUGUGCCAGCAGCCGCGGUAAUACAGAGGGUGCAUGCGUUAAUCGGAAUUACUGGGCGUAAAGCGCGCGUAGGUGGUUAGUUAAGUUGGAUGUGAAAUCCCCGGGCUCAACCUGGGAACUGUAUUCAGAACUGACUGACUAUAGUAUGGUAGAGGGUGGUGGAAUUUCCUGUGUAGCGGUGAAAUGCGUAGAUAUAGGAAGGAACACCCUUGGCGAAAGCUACCACCUGGACUGAUACUGACACUGAGGUGCCAAAGUGUGAUGAGCAGACAGGAUUAGAUACCCUGGUAGUCCACGCCGUAACGAUGUCAACUAGCCGUUGCGAGCCUUGAGCUCUUCAUGCGCAGCUACGCUGUAAGUCAGCGCCUGGGGCAGUACGCCGCAUGG